Oncorhynchus tshawytscha (Chinook salmon) is the source of this 383-nucleotide long non-coding RNA. The record is from Ensembl. Lineage: Eukaryota; Metazoa; Chordata; Actinopteri; Salmoniformes; Salmonidae.
AUGAGGCUACACUCCCUAAUGCCAUGAGGCUACACUCCAUAAUGCCAUGAGGCUACACUCCAUAAUGCCAUGAGGCUACACUCCAUAAGGCUACACUCCAUAAUGCCAUGAUGCUACACUCCCUAAUGCCAUGAGGCUACACUCCAUAAUGCCAUGAGGCUACACUCGAUAAUGCCAUGAGGCUACACUCCCUAAUGCCAUAAGGCUACACUCCAUAAUGCCAUGAGGCUACACUCCAUAAUGCCAUGAGGCUACACUCCAUGAGGCUACACUCCAUAAUGCCAUGAGGCUACACUCCCUAAUGCCAUGAGGCUACACUCCAUAAUGCCAUGAGGCUACACUCCAUAAUGCCAUGAGGCUACACUCCAUAAUGCCAUGAGGCU